GCUGGGUGUGGUGGCCCAUGCCUGUAAUCCCAGCAGCUCAGGAGGCUGAGGCAGGAGGAUUUAGAGUUCAAAACCAGCCUCAGCAACUUAAUGCUCUCAGCAAUUUAGCAAGGUCCUAAGCAACUCAGAAAGACCCUGUCUCUA
Molecule: small RNA, 144 nt
Filed under: Marmota monax (woodchuck)
Lineage: Eukaryota; Metazoa; Chordata; Mammalia; Rodentia; Sciuridae
Source: RNAcentral